This 510-nucleotide ribosomal RNA is filed under the name Triticum aestivum (bread wheat). RNAcentral's name for it is "partial small subunit ribosomal RNA". Lineage: Eukaryota; Viridiplantae; Streptophyta; Magnoliopsida; Poales; Poaceae. The record is from RNAcentral.
AUGAAUGGUUCGCCACAAGAUACUGCAACAACAGUCUCCCGGACAGCCCACGGAAUGGGGACACUCCCAUUUGGCGAUGCCUGCAAUCAACAAUUCAGCUUGUCAUACAAUCUACCAGGUGCGUUUUGGGGGACGGAUCUAGAAUCUCUUUUUGGAAGGAUUUGUGGCUUGCUUGCGGAAGGCUUGAGUUCUCCUUCCCAGUGCUUUUCUCGUUUGCCCGAAACAAGAGCUGCUCGGUUGCCUCUCAGUUCAAUGCUGGAAUUUGGGACAUCAAACUACAUCCGAACCUCACUACCGCAGCCAACAAGAGAGUUGCAAGCUCUAUAUGACAUCUUGACCGGCAUCCAACGUGUGGACGAUCAGGCAGAUUCCCGGAGGCCAAUCUGUUUGUACAACAAGCCUACAACACACUUCUUUUAUGAGAUGCUCACGUUUAAAGGAAUUCAGUGCCCAUUGAAGAACAAGAUCUGGGACAGUCUUAUUCCGAAUAAACACAAAGUUUUCCUCUAG